AGAGUUUGAUCCUGGCUCAGGACGAACGCUGGCGGCGUGCCUAACACAUGCAAGUCGAACGGGGUGAGGCCCUUCGGGACCCUACCUAGUGGCGAACGGGUGAGUAACGCGUGAGGAACCUGCCUUUCAGUGGGGGACAACAGUUGGAAACGACUGCUAAUACCGCAUGAAGCUUUUGGGAGACAUCUCCUGGAAGCCAAAGCUUAAUGUGCUGAAAGAUGGCCUCGCGUCUGAUUAGCUAGUUGGUGGGGUAACGGCCCACCAAGGCGACGAUCAGUAGCCGGUCUGAGAGGAUGAACGGCCACAUUGGGACUGGGAUACGGCCCAGACUCCUACGGGAGGCGGCAGUGGGGAAUAUUGGGCAAUGGGCGAAAGCCUGACCCAGCAACGCCGCGUGAAGGAAGAAGGCCUUCGGGUUGUAAACUUCUUUUACCAGGGACGAAGGACGUGACGGUACCUGGAGAAAAAGCAACGGCUAACUACGUGCCAGCAGCCGCGGUAAUACGUAGGUUGCAAGCGUUGUCCGGAUUUACUGGGUGUAAAGGGCGUGUAGGCGGAGAUGCAAGUUAGGAGUGAAAUCUAUGGGCUCAACCCAUAAACUGCUUCUAAAACUGUAUCCCUUGAGUAUCGGAGAGGCAAGCGGAAUUCCUAGUGUAGCGGUGAAAUGCGUAGAUAUUAGGAGGAACACCAGUGGCGAAGGCGGCUUGCUGGACGAUAACUGACACUGAGGCACGAAAGCGUGGGGAGCAGACAGGAUUAGAUACCCUGGUAGUCCACGCCGUAAACGAUGAGUACUAGCUGUCGGAGGUUACCCCCUUCGGUGGCGCAGCUAACGCAUUAAGUACUCCGCCUGGGAAGUACGCUCGCAAGAGUGAAACUCAAAGGAAUUGACGGGGACCCGCACAAGUAGCGGAGCAUGUGGUUUAAUUCGAAGCAACGCGAAGAACCUUACCUAAGCUUGACGUCCUUUUGACCGAUGCCUAAUCGCAUCUUUCCCUUCGGGGACAGAAGUGACAGGUGGUGCAUGGUUGUCGUCAGCUCGUGUCGUGAGAUGUUGGGUUAAGUCCCGCAACGAGCGCAACCCUUGCCUUUAGUUGCCAGCAUUAAGUUGGGCACUCUAGAGGGACUGCCAGGGAUAACCUGGAGGAAGGUGGGGAUGACGUCAAAUCAUCAUGCCCCUUAUGCUUAGGGCUACACACGUGCUACAAUGGGUGGUACAGAGGGCAGCCAAGUCGUGAGGCGGAGCUAAUCCCUUAAAGCCAUUCUCAGUUCGGAUUGUAGGCUGAAACUCGCCUACAUGAAGCUGGAGUUACUAGUAAUCGCAGAUCAGAAUGCUGCGGUGAAUGCGUUCCCGGGUCUUGUACACACCGCCCGUCACACCACGGGAGUUGGGGGCGCCCGAAGCCGGAUUGCUAACCUUUUGGAAGCGUCCGUCGAAGGUGAAAUCAAUAACUGGGGUGAAGUCGUAACAAGGUA
Molecule: ribosomal RNA, 1476 nt
Filed under: metagenome
Description: bacterial SSU rRNA
Rfam family: Bacterial small subunit ribosomal RNA
Source: RNAcentral